Molecule: ribosomal RNA, 460 nt
Filed under: uncultured bacterium
Lineage: Bacteria
Description: partial 16S ribosomal RNA
Rfam family: Bacterial small subunit ribosomal RNA
Source: RNAcentral
CCUACGGGUGGCAGCAGUGAGGAAUAUUGGUCAAUGGACGAGAGUCUGAACCAGCCAAGUAGCGUGAAGGAUGACUGCCCUAUGGGUUGUAAACUUCUUUUAUAUGGGAAUAAAGUGUUCCACGUGUGGGAUUUUGUAUGUACCAUAUGAAUAAGGAUCGGCUAACUCCGUGCCAGCAGCCGCGGUAAUACGGAGGAUACGAGCGUUAUCCGGAUUUAUUGGGUUUAAAGGGAGCGUAGGUGGAUUUUUAAGUCAGUUGUGAAAGUUUGCGGCUCAACCGUAAAAUUGCAGUUGAAACUGGCAGUCUUGAGUACAGUAGAGGUGGGCGGAAUUCGUGGUGUAGCGGUGAAAUGCUUAGAUAUCACGAAGAACUCCGAUUGCGAAGGCAGUUCACUGGACUGCAACUGACACUGAGGCUCGAAAGUGUGGGUAUCAAACAGGAUUAGAUACCCCUGUAGUC